Molecule: unclassified non-coding RNA, 808 nt
Filed under: Hevea brasiliensis (rubber tree)
Lineage: Eukaryota; Viridiplantae; Streptophyta; Magnoliopsida; Malpighiales; Euphorbiaceae
Source: RNAcentral
GGGAAACAAAAGAACUAGCAGCGAUGAACCAAAAAGUGCAGAGACACCCAAUUGCUGGUAAAGAAGAACCAUUGCAAUGGUAAUGCGAAAAGGAGCUGACCAUAAUGAAUGAAGUGACUGGGUUAUUUGCUGAAGUGUCUCAGCAUCAGUAGUCAUUAAGUUUGUUAUCUUUCCAGUCGCAAACGUCUUGCGAGCCUCGUGGGUUAACCUGAGAGAUUUGCGAAAAACAGCAGCCACCAAGGUUGACCUCAGUCGAUAACCAACACGCAUCACAUUCUGAAAAUACUGUGCUUCACAUAACACUCCCAAGAUCACUCCAGCAAAUAUUGAGAAAGCGUAAAUGUAACCAAUUUGAGAUGGAUCUCCACGCUGCAUGGACUCGAGAAGUUUAUUCAAGAUGACAGGCCCCACAAAUUGAGAAAGAUCAUUGCCAAUCUUCCAAAUGCCACCCAACCAAAACCUUCCUCCAAUGCUGUUGUUCAAUCCUCUAAGAAGCCACGGUUUAGAUUUUUGAGAUUCUUUCGCCCAAACUUUCUGGAAGUUAUCGUAUAAUGUUUCAGUUCGAUCCCACAAAUCCAAUUUCCAGACAUCCUUCUCUGUGAGUGGCCUUUCGUAUCCUAGCUUCAGUAUGGAAUUCAUCCAUGCAAAAGUAGUUUUUGAAAAUAAAUUUGCACGCCUCUCGGGGCAUAUAUGUUCCCCUUCAGGAAGUUCUUCGUAUUCAACAUCAACAGAUUCACUAUUUAGAGGGGUAUGACCAGGAUAAGGAUCCAAGUUAGGCACAUAUGCCACCAAAAGAACACCAAAUAAG